This 497-nucleotide ribosomal RNA is filed under the name uncultured bacterium. RNAcentral's name for it is "partial 16S ribosomal RNA". It matches the Rfam family "Bacterial small subunit ribosomal RNA", at positions 28 to 507 of the family's 1533-position model. The record is from RNAcentral.
GAUGAACGCUGGCGGCGUGCCUAAUACAUGCAAGUCGAGCGAACGGACGAGCAGCUUGCUUUUCUGAUGUUAGCGGCGGACGGGUGAGUAACACGUGGAUAACCUACCUAUAAGACUGGGAUAACUUCGGGAAACCGGAGCUAAUACCGGAUAAUAUUUUGAACCGCAUGGUUCAAAAGUGAAAGACGGUCUUGCUGUCACUUAUAGAUGGAUCCGCGCUGCAUUAGCUAGUUGGUAAGGUAACGGCUUACCAAGGCAACGAUGCAUAGCCGACCUGAGAGGAUGAUCGGCCACACUGGGACUGAGACACGGUCCAGACUCCUACGGGAGGCAGCAGUAGGGAAUUUUCCGCAAUGGGCGAAAGCCUGACGGAGCAACGCCGCGUGAGUGAUGAAGGUCUUCAGGUCGUAAAACUCUGUUAUUAGGGAAGAACAUAUGUGUAAGUAACUGUGCACAUCUUGACGGUACCUGAUCAGAAAGCAACGGCUAACUACGUG